Molecule: ribosomal RNA, 379 nt
Filed under: uncultured Flavobacterium sp.
Lineage: Bacteria; Pseudomonadati; Bacteroidota; Flavobacteriia; Flavobacteriales; Flavobacteriaceae
Description: bacterial SSU rRNA
Rfam family: Bacterial small subunit ribosomal RNA
Source: RNAcentral
GUUGGGAGCGAUCUCAGUGGCUAAGCGAAAGUGAUAAGUAUCCCACCUGGGGAGUACGUUCGCAAGAAUGAAACUCAAAGGAAUUGACGGGGGCCCGCACAAGCGGUGGAGCAUGUGGUUUAAUUCGAUGAUACGCGAGGAACCUUACCAAGGCUUAAAUGUAGAUUGACCGGUUUGGAAACAGACUUUUCGCAAGACAAUUUACAAGGUGCUGCAUGGUUGUCGUCAGCUCGUGCCGUGAGGUGUCAGGUUAAGUCCUAUAACGAGCGCAACCCCUGUUGUUAGUUGCCAGCGAGUGAUGUCGGGAACUCUAACAAGACUGCCAGUGUAAACUGUGAGGAAGGUGGGGAUGACGUCAAAUCAUCACGGCCCUUACGCC